UACGUAGGGUGCAAGCGUUGUCCGGAAUUAUUGGGCGUAAAGAGCUCGUAGGCGGUCUGUCACGUCGGCUGUGAAAACCCGAGGCUCAACCUCGGGCCUGCAGUCGAUACGGGCAAACUAGAGUACUGCAGGGGAGACUGGAAUUCCUGGUGUAGCGGUGAAAUGCGCAGAUAUCAGGAGGAACACCGGUGGCGAAGGCGGGUCUCUGGGCAGUAACUGACGCUGAGGAGCGAAAGCGUGGGGAGCGAAUGGG
This 253-nucleotide ribosomal RNA is filed under the name uncultured bacterium. RNAcentral's name for it is "partial 16S ribosomal RNA". It matches the Rfam family "Bacterial small subunit ribosomal RNA", at positions 524 to 776 of the family's 1533-position model. The record is from RNAcentral.